This 260-nucleotide long non-coding RNA is filed under the name Dasypus novemcinctus (nine-banded armadillo). Its description in RNAcentral is "lncRNA (ENSDNOG00000052698.1)". The record is from RNAcentral. Lineage: Eukaryota; Metazoa; Chordata; Mammalia; Cingulata; Dasypodidae.
GAGGAACAUGAGGGAGCAGAAGCUGGAGCUGCCCAUGGGGAAGGCUCUGCCCUGGCUCUCCUACUCUGCCUCUCCAUGCGAGGUUUGCUAACGUGUCCAACUCACUCCACGCCGCUGUGAACCGAGGGCUGCGCCACUCAGCUGCUGGGGUCCAGAGGCGGCUCUGGCUCCCUACCACUGCUGCUCAUCCCUACAUAGCUAUUCUCUCUGAAAGACACAGGUGAAAAAAAUGCUGUUAAAAGAGAACAGACGUGGUCCAG